RNAcentral lists this ribosomal RNA (253 nucleotides) under uncultured bacterium. RNAcentral describes it as "partial 16S ribosomal RNA". It matches the Rfam family "Bacterial small subunit ribosomal RNA", at positions 524 to 776 of the family's 1533-position model. The record is from RNAcentral.
UACAGAGACUGCAAGCGUUAUUCGGAUUCACUGGGCGUAAAGGGUGCGCAGGCGGUUGGGUGUGUCAGAUGUGAAAUCCCGAGGCUUAACCUCGGAACUGCGUCUGAAACUACUCGACUAGAGUACUGGAGAGGGAAACGGAAUUCACGGUGUAGCAGUGAAAUGCGUAGAUAUCAGGAGGAACACCGAUGGCGAAGGCAGGUCUCUGGGCUGACACUGACGCUCAUGCACGAAAGCGUGGGGAGCAAACAGG